AUGAAUUGCCUAAGUUGGAACUGUCGGGGAGGGGGGAACACCCGGACAGUUCGUGAGUUAGCGACAAUCUGCAAGUCGCGUUCCCCCACGUUUGUAUUUUUAUGUGAGACUAGACAAAAGGAAGUAAAGAUGAAAAGACUACGAAACCGGCUGGGUUUGAAGGGUUUUUGUGGAGUCGAUAGCAAUGGCAUGAGUGGUGGUCUCGCGGUGUACUGGCAUGAAAAC
Molecule: ribosomal RNA, 225 nt
Filed under: Triticum aestivum (bread wheat)
Lineage: Eukaryota; Viridiplantae; Streptophyta; Magnoliopsida; Poales; Poaceae
Description: partial small subunit ribosomal RNA
Source: RNAcentral